UAGCCGUAAACGAUACUCACUAGGUGUCGGCCACGGUGCGACCGUUGUCGGUGCCGUAGGGAAGCCGUGAAGCGAGCCACCUGGGAAGUACGGCCGCAAGGCUGAAACUUAAGGAAUUGGCGGGGGAGCACCACAACGGGUGGAGCUUGCGGUUUAAUCGGACUCAACGCCGGGAAUCUCACCGGAUAAGACAGCUGAAUGAUAGUCGGGAUGAAGACUCUACUUGACUAGCUGAGAGGUGGUGCAUGGCGUAGUCGUGU
RNAcentral lists this ribosomal RNA (260 nucleotides) under uncultured archaeon. Its description in RNAcentral is "partial 16S ribosomal RNA". It matches the Rfam family "Archaeal small subunit ribosomal RNA", at positions 748 to 1009 of the family's 1478-position model. The record is from RNAcentral.